CAAACCCACAACAAAACCCACACAGGCAGAGCUGAGAACCCUCUCCAGGAAGCUGACUUAUACUAAACCACUCGCCUAUUUCUUGUUACAUUACAUCUUGCUUUGCUGCCCCUGCCUGUUUAGAUUAACUAAACCCAGUCUCCUGGGCUUUUUUUUUAUCUUUCUUAAGUAAAAUACUGAGAACCUGGUAAGGAAAAUUCAACUGAAGAAAAAACUUAGAGCUCACAUUUUCUUCUUUAUCUCCCACCUGCACUUAGAAUGUUCUGCCUUCUAUAACAUUUAUUUUCGAGAGCCUCGUUCAACUUCCUGUGUCUGCUCUGUUUCCAUUAGUGCAAUGGGCAGGUGCAAGGUUGUGAUAUCUGGAAGAGGCCAUCUUUAACAUAGAUUUGUCCUGAGGAUGACAUUUUUAGAGGAAGGUCAUUUGACUCAUUGAAGAGUUGGCAGGAUCAUACACUUGUGUGGGAGAGAAGGGGAUUUUAUACUCCAAUGAAAUACCCACAUUUUGAAAUGCUAAGAAAUCUGGAUGUCUUCUUGCUGAAUAGAAAUUAUUUCUAAAGCAUCUUGGUGCACUGAAACAGGACAGU
This 584-nucleotide long non-coding RNA is filed under the name Crocodylus porosus (Australian saltwater crocodile). Its description in RNAcentral is "lncRNA (ENSCPRG00005008861.1)". The record is from RNAcentral. Lineage: Eukaryota; Metazoa; Chordata; Crocodylia; Crocodylidae.